UACGUAGGGGGCAAGCGUUAUCCGGAUUUACUGGGUGUAAAGGGAGCGUAGACGGUUAUGCAAGUCAGAAGUGAAAGCCCAAAGCUCAACUUCGGGACUGCUUUUGAAACUGUGUAACUAGAGUGCAGGAGGGGUAAGCGGAACUCCUAGUGUAGCGGUGAAAUGCGUAGAUAUUAGGAGGAACACCGGCGGCGAAGGCGGCUUACUGGACUGUAACUGACGUUGAGGCUCGAAAGCGUGGGGAGCAAACAGG
This 253-nucleotide ribosomal RNA is filed under the name uncultured bacterium. RNAcentral's name for it is "partial 16S ribosomal RNA". It matches the Rfam family "Bacterial small subunit ribosomal RNA", at positions 524 to 776 of the family's 1533-position model. The record is from RNAcentral.